RNAcentral lists this non-coding RNA (202 nucleotides) under Halorhodospira halochloris. The record is from RNAcentral. Lineage: Bacteria; Pseudomonadati; Pseudomonadota; Gammaproteobacteria; Chromatiales; Ectothiorhodospiraceae.
UUCAUCAACCCGCUGUCGGGUGCCCGUUCGUCCACGGGAGAAUCGGGAAUGCGGUGGGGUGAUCGAUCAAGGAUCACCGAGUCCGCAACGCGCCCAGCGCUGUGAGGGGGAUCGCGCAGACAUCGAGCCACUGCCAUGGGCGGGAAGGCGUCCGCGCGGGACGAACCCGAGUCAGAAGACCGGCCCGACAGUUUCUUUGCAC